Molecule: long non-coding RNA, 1217 nt
Organism: Mus musculus (house mouse)
Lineage: Eukaryota; Metazoa; Chordata; Mammalia; Rodentia; Muridae
Product: predicted gene, 19956
Exons: 4
Source: RefSeq, a predicted model, not a curated record
CUGGCAAACAGCAGCCUCUGGACAAGGCCCUCAACCAAGCACUUGGAGUCGGCUCCAGAAUGAACCCGUUCUGCACAGAACUAAUAGGAGUCAAAUAUGUCACUGGGGAGGCAAUCAGUGUUCACCCCCAGAAUAGGAUUUCUUGACAUUGCCUCUCUGGAUGAAGACAAACUUCUGCCUCAUUCAGAACUCCUCAGGUUGUUGCAACUUGUUUCAUCAACCCACAACCUUGGCCCACAGCCAGAAGGAACAGCCAUAGCUUCUAUGAAUUGCCAUCUCCAAGGUGCAGCUUCUUCAGCGAUGAGAAGAGGGCAUACACUGUGUGGUGAUGCCAUCCUACACUCACCGAGACAGAUGCAGCCACGGAGCACACAUUCGUCAUUUGAUUCCUUGGGGGACACCAGAUCUAUCAUCAAGGAGAAUGAAAUGGUACUUGUAGGUAGUUCGGGUACAUGGAAGAGACCAUGGCAUAGCUACUCUGCUUGAAGACUGUGUGUGAAGAAUCCAUACUUCUUUCUCAUCCCACUGAGUCCAGGGCACCUCCGGAUAUCACUAAGAGUUUCAGCUGCAGCUCUACAGGACGCAUGGACACAUGUAGGAUUCAAUCACUGUUUGAAACCUUGCUGUCCUGAACCUGGCCUGGAUCAUCGACUGCUCAAGAACAUGUCAGACCUGAGGCCGCUUGCCGGUGAAGAUCAUAGGAGACCAGUGGAUGGAUGUGGUCAAAAGUUAGUUCUGAUUCAGGAGUCCUAUUCCUGGGUCCUUGGAUACCCCUUGCCGUUGCCGCUCAUUAUUGAUUUGGGUGACAGAGAUGUUCCUGGAAUUACAUAGUUGAGUUUUUCUUGUGUUUGCCCCGGGGUGAUCUGUGACUUGUGGGGCAGGGGUGCUGGGGUUACGAUCAUCAUUUCCAAACUUUUCAAUGGCAAAUUGAAUUUCUUUUGAACACUAGGGGCCCUUUAAACGGUAGUUUAAGUAUUCAAUUUGCGCUUAGAGGGCACUGGGGAGGAGGGUGAGUGCAAAGGGAAGGAGUUCCCAAAACCUAUGAAAGAGGGAUGGAAACCAUUGUGGAGUUUUGCAGGGAAGACUUUUUUUUUUCUCUCCCUGAUUGAAAUAUUGCUUUAAAGCAUUGGCAGGCUUACAGAAGUAAAAUGAAAAACAAAUCCCACAAAAAUCCUGGAGGACCAUAAAACCAGCAAAUAAAGUGGCACAAAGUCCUU